UUUAAAUGUAAAUUUUUGAACUAAAUUAGUAAUAGAUAUGAUCUUCAAAUUUAAAGAUUUUGGCGGUAUUUUAGUCUAUUCAGAGGAACCUGUUCUGUAAUUGAUAGUCCACGAUUAACUUUACUUAAUUUUAAAAAUUUGUAUAUCGUUGUUUAUAGAAAAUUUUAUAAGAAAAAUAAUUUUUAAUAAAUUUAAUUAAAUAAUAAAUCAAAUCAAGGUGCAGUUUAUAGUUAAGUUAGAAAUGGGUUACAAUAAAUUUAUUUAUUAAUGAAUAUGAAUUUUAAAAUUUUAUUGAAGGUGGAUUUGAUAGUAAUAUUAUUUAAUUUAAUAAUAUGAUUAUAGCUCUAAAAUAUGU
RNAcentral lists this ribosomal RNA (355 nucleotides) under Aulonogyrus striatus. Its description in RNAcentral is "partial 12S ribosomal RNA". The record is from RNAcentral. Lineage: Eukaryota; Metazoa; Arthropoda; Insecta; Coleoptera; Gyrinidae.